CAUGCAUGUGGAUAUAUGUUAAGCCUCAGCUACUCUUUCUAUAUCAUAACUGUCCCCAUGUUUGUGAAAUCUGGUGUACAACUGCAAGAACAAUGAUGGCUUGACAGGUGGUUUACCUUUCAGUGAGUUCUAUAAGGAGGAUGCAUCAACUCUUCCAGCCAGUGUACACAUUACCACAUGAAAGCAGCAGCUUAUAAACAGCACAACACCAUACAGCACAAAUUAUAUAUUCGCCACGUGUUAUUAAACUUACAUCAUUAAAGUACAUUAGAAUUGGUGCGCUAAGGCUGGUGCACAAUAUAUGCAUAUACUUUAAACAAUCAUAAAUAAUGCAGGAGCUUGGAAUAUGAUUGGCGAUUCUCGGAACUGCUUUGAUAAUACAAAAGUCAAGGCUUUGUUUUUGGCAUCACCCACUCCAAUUAGUUUUCUUUCUUUUUCCAAUUGAAGCAUUGGCAAGGUUUGUGCCAUGCGCUUCGACCGUGAUUUUUUCUUGUUCGCGCACGGCCAUGACCAUAAUACAAGAAAAUCGGCCCAGUAACGCAGUGGUCCCUGCCUACUUUUUCAUAUACUUUACCGCAAUACAUUACGUAUGCUUCACCGCAUAACAUGACUGUAUUGCGGCAAAGCUGAUUUUACGGAACUGACAUUAUGUAACGGACCUUUUGUUCUUCUGCUGCUCGCAUGAGCAUAAGCUCGAAAAACCACAAAAUAAAGACUUGGCUUGCUGCUGGUUGAUUUCUAGCUAACAUUUCGAGACGUCCACGUUGUUAACAAAAGCAUCGGUGAAGUUUCUCGCGCUCGGACGCGCUUCAAAAGGCAGCGUGUGACCACCUAUAAUUAAGGCAGUCAUAAGCGGCAACGAAAUCCACACAAGGUACAUCAACUUCCGCAAAGCUACUGGGCAACGCCAUCAAUAACUGGCACACGGGCCACCCAGGAGCUGGCAAACGCUGCGAUGACAUCCACACAAACCACGUCGGUUUUUCACAAAGCUAUUGGGCAACACGAUCAGUCACAGGCACAGGUGAAGUUCGCAAAACACUACAUGAGCAGAACUACUACGGCCAUACUCAAUCACUUCGCCACAAGCUCUCACAUACAACGACAUCAAACAGAUACAAUCACUUCUCCACAGCCACUGACCCAGGCGAAGACCGCACGGACAGAACGGAAGCACCGAUUCUGGGCUCGAUCAUCGCGUUCCACAAAGCUAGUAAAGCACACGAGCAGCCAGGGGCACGGCCGAAGUCCGCACGGGCAGAAUGGAGCUCACGUCGCGUCCAUCACUUUAGCGACACCUAUUUAAAAAUAAUAUACGGAGCCAAGCCAAAUCAUUAUUUAGCGUCUAUUUGGGUGAACCUAACGCUUUCGGGCCCUAACCGUUCGUACGACCAGGGCACUAUAACGGUUACCCCCCCCUUUCCACUCCUACGACCGGGUCGCAGGAAUGGCGGCCCAGCAGAAAAACGGUUCUUUAUUCCAUGACACGGCGACGCUCAGUACCACCGGAUGCUACAGAAGCACCGGUCACACAACGUAGAUUCUGUGCUACCGGAGGUCGCCGAGGGCCGCUUUAACACCACCCCCACUGCACCGCUUUCUGCCGAACACAGAUCCCACAGAAGAGAGAUCACGCAACAGCGAUAAACAAAUCGCAGUUAGCGCGCUUCGACGACAUGCCACUGCGGUCCCUCAAAAGUCCCUAGAUGAUUCUCUCCCUAGAUGCCUAGGACAUGAUCACGUGAUGCAUUCUGGGCGCACGACGCGGUGACGUGCGGUGACGCCACUUUAUUCUGUGGUAUCGUCCGUUUUGUUCGCGGCUUCGUACGUUCGAGCUCGGCGUCGUGGCAUAAUUAAUAUUGUAGUCAUGUUUGCGAUGGCUUUAAGGGACAUUGAGGAGCAGCAGCAAUCGAAACAGUUGAAAUUCGGUGGAGGCAUGUUACUGUUCGCGUGAACAGCUGUUGUCAGCAUCGGUUUCAGUGUGUUCGUAAGCGAAUGUGCCCGUCUGUGUGCGUCUGAUCGUUGUUGUUAUAUCAUUACAAUGUUUUCAGGAGCUCGCAUAUUUAUUGUGCCUACAGGCAUUGGGGGCCCACGGGUGAACCUUUAUAAGAGUAAAGUGAUGGAGCACGGGGCCACAGUUGUGAGUGACGAAAACUUGGCCACACACGUAAUCGUGGCGGAGUCGCUGGACGGAGACCGUAUUUCUAAAAUAGUGGACACAGCAAACUUACGUGCAUCCGUGAAAAUCGUAAAAUGUACGUGGUUAAGCGAGUGCUUCAAGAGUAGAUCAUUGGUCGAAACAACUACGUAUGAGCUCCACUACAAGCCAACCCCGAGUGCUUUCACAAUGUGCUGCCAAGAUUCUAACGGCGCCCCUUCUAAACGGGCAAGACUUUUUCGUGAGCCUGCAGAUCUUGCACCUCAGCCUGGUGUCUCUCGGAGCACCGAAUCCUCGAUACUGCAUCAAACGGCCGUUUCGGGCAAGUGGGUGUGCGCAGUUGCCUCCACAGACGUUCCUGUGAAUAAGAAUUCCCACAUAACUGACCAAUUGGAGACCGAGGUUGUUUUAUUCCAGGCCAUGGUUGAAACCUACCAAAGCACUAAAGACCACUGGAGGGCCCUUGGUUAUGAAAAAGCCAUCAUGCAGCUCAAGCGGCAUGCUACUGAAAUCACGACAUGGGAGGAAGCAAGGGCCCUGCCUAACGUUGGGAAAAGGCUUGCAGACAAAAUUUGGGAGAUUGUUCAGCAAGGCAGGCUCCAAAAACUGGAGGAAUUCCAAAGCCAGGAGCAUCUUGUUGCACAGAACCUGUUCACAAAAGUCUGGGGUGCCGGACCAUCAACAGCACAAAAGUGGGUCCAGCAGGGUUUUCGUUCACUGGAAGAACUUGCCGCCAAGGGAAGUCUGAGCAGCCAACAGAAGAUUGGGCUCAAGCACUUCCAUGACUUCCUUGACAAGAUGCCAUAUGCUGAAGCAAGGCUGAUUGCAGACACAGUGAAGACAGCUGCCCUGUCGAUCCAGCCUGGACUUGAGGUGAUUCCGUGUGGCUCCUAUCGCAGAGGCAGAGCCAUGUGUGGCGAUGUUGACAUUCUGAUCACACACCCUGACGGCAAGUCUCAUGAGGGUGUGCUCUGCAAGAUUCUACAGAUCCUUCACGAAAGCACAUCGUCGCCUGGACAUCUUUGUGGUGCCCCAGGAGGAAUUUGCCUGUUCUCUACUAGCCUUCACUGGUUCUGCCCAUUUUAAUCGUUCCAUGCGCCUCCUGGCUCGUCGCAAGAGCAUGUCCCUCAAUGACCAUGGCCUUUAUGCAGAUGUUUGCAGAACAGGGGAAGAAAAGAUAAGUCGUGGAAAACGGCUUCCCACACCAACAGAGGAAUCUAUUUUUGAACACCUUGGGCUUGAAUACCGACCUCCUGAAGAGCGAGACCACUAGCUACAUAGAUUUUAUAGAGUCUAUGUCUUUAAAAUUUAUAAUGUAUUCACUUGUAAAUUUAUAUUCUUAGAAGUGGAUUUCUGAAAGAAUGUGUGAUUUGUUUAUCAAUGAGCCUUUAUAAAAUACAGAAGAUUUAUAUAUUAUGUUUUGAGAGAGCACGCAAGUAUAUGUGUCUGUCAGUAGAUGUUAAAGUUCAGUUGGAGAGCUAUUAUUUGGAAGAAACACUUGAAUGAACACAUUUGUGCUAUUGCAUCACAAUUAAUGCCGUGAUAGCAUGUAAAAAGCCAAAUGAAUGUGAAAAGAUGCAUGAUCUCAGCAUGGUGAGAAGAGAUUUACUGGGUGUUGUAGUAAUUCCUAUUCACUUGUAUUGAAUGGUUCUUGUGCGUGUGUAUGCAUGCAUGUGAGGGAGUUAGCAAAUGAGUGUGUGCGUGCUUGAAUGCAUGGCAGCAUGGUACACAUUCAUGUGCACCAGACUGCUCCACAUGAGUGGGUAUUCUGUAGGUCGACAUGUCAAUUUUGUCUGCAGCAGAAGUUCGGAUUGGCGGGGCCGAUCGGCUGGGCAUGCGAAGGAGACAGGCGCCCCCACCCAAUCAGCACAUCAGAAGCCGACAAAAUGGACUUUUCCACUAGGUAAAAACUUACAGAAUACACCCCCAGAAGUGUGAACAGUUAUUUUUAUCCUCUCUUAAUUAGAAAUGUUUCUCCUUUGUUCACUGCUGUACAUCAAGGAUGUACAGCAGUGAACAAAGGAGAAACAUCAAGAAGUCAUCAAGGAACACAGAAUUUCAUUCCAAAUUUCAGAAGUUGACCUAAUAACAUGAAUUAGGCUUGUUGUAUGCAAGUUGAUUGUUGUGUGCAUCUUGUUGUCGGUCUCAUUAAAUCAUGAUGGGCUUGCA
Molecule: RNA transcript, 4327 nt
Organism: Dermacentor albipictus
Lineage: Eukaryota; Metazoa; Arthropoda; Arachnida; Ixodida; Ixodidae
Gene name: DNA polymerase lambda-like
Source: RefSeq, a predicted model, not a curated record